Molecule: ribosomal RNA, 301 nt
Filed under: uncultured bacterium
Lineage: Bacteria
Description: partial 16S ribosomal RNA
Rfam family: Bacterial small subunit ribosomal RNA
Source: RNAcentral
CAGUAGCCGCGGGAAUACGUAGGGCGCGAGCGUUGUCCGGAAUUAUUGGGCGUAAAGAGCUCGUAGGCGGCUGGUCGCGUCUGUCGUGAAAUCCUCUGGCUUAACUGGGGGCGUGCGGUGGGUACGGGCCGGCUUGAGUGCGGUAGGGGAGGCUGGAAUUCCUGGUGUAGCGGUGGAAUGCGCAGAUAUCAGGAGGAACACCGGUGGCGAAGGCGGGUCUCUGGGCCGUGUACUGACGCUGAGGAGCGAAAGCGUGGGGAGCGAACAGGAUUAGAUACCCCCGUAGUCCCUGUCUCUUAUA